GACGAACGCUGGCGGCGUGCUUAACACAUGCAAGUCGAACGGAAAGGCCCUGCUUUUGUGGGGUGCUCGAGUGGCGAACGGGUGAGUAACACGUGAGUAACCUGCCCUUGACUUUGGGAUAACUUCAGGAAACUGGGGCUAAUACCGGAUAGGAGCUCCUGCUGCAUGGUGGGGGUUGGAAAGUUUCGGCGGUUGGGGAUGGACUCGCGGCUUAUCAGCUUGUUGGUGGGGUAGUGGCUUACCAAGGCUUUGACGGGUAGCCGGCCUGAGAGGGUGACCGGCCACAUUGGGACUGAGGUACGGCCCAGACGCAUACGGGAGGCAGCAGUGGAGAAUAUUGCACAAUGGGCGGAAGCCGGAUGCAGCAACGCCGCGUGCGGGAUGACGGCCUUCGGGUUGUAAACCGCUUUCGCCUGUGACGAAGCGUGAGUGACGGUAAUGGGGAAAGAAGCACCGGCGAACUACGU
This 467-nucleotide ribosomal RNA is filed under the name uncultured bacterium. Its description in RNAcentral is "partial 16S ribosomal RNA". It matches the Rfam family "Bacterial small subunit ribosomal RNA", at positions 28 to 506 of the family's 1533-position model. The record is from RNAcentral.